CCCCUAGAUGUUCUGGGCCGCACGCGCGCUACACUGAACAGUUCAACAAGUCUUAACCUUGGCCGAUAGGUCUGGGUAAUCUUUGAACGCUGUUCGUGAUUGGGAUAGACCUUUGCAAUUAUGGGUCUUCAACGAGGAAUUCCUAGUAAACGCAAGUCAUCAGCUUGCAUUGAUUACGUCCCUGCCCUUUAUACACACCGCCCGUCGCACCUACCGAUUGAAUGGUCCGGUGAAAUCUCGGGACGGCGGCUCGGUCGCUUGCGUCCGACUGCUGAAACUUGAUUAAACCAUAUCAUUUAGAGGAAGGUGAANUCGUAACA
This 320-nucleotide ribosomal RNA is filed under the name uncultured eukaryote. RNAcentral's name for it is "partial 18S ribosomal RNA". It matches the Rfam family "Eukaryotic small subunit ribosomal RNA", at positions 1470 to 1796 of the family's 1831-position model. The record is from RNAcentral.